GCCCUGGUGGCGAAAUUGGUAGACGCACGGGACUUAAAAUCCCGCGGACUUCAAACUCCGUGCCGGUUCGACUCCGGCCCAGGGCACCA
Molecule: transfer RNA, 89 nt
Filed under: Sharpea azabuensis
Lineage: Bacteria; Bacillati; Bacillota; Erysipelotrichia; Erysipelotrichales; Coprobacillaceae
Also listed under: 2 other names
Description: tRNA-Leu
Rfam family: tRNA
About the family: Transfer RNA (tRNA) molecules are approximately 80 nucleotides in length. Their secondary structure includes four short double-helical elements and three loops (D, anti-codon, and T loops).
Source: RNAcentral